Long non-coding RNA from Homo sapiens (human), 999 nucleotides. Ensembl annotates it as SOX9 antisense RNA 1. Its record names the gene SOX9-AS1. NCBI's taxonomy places the organism in Eukaryota, Metazoa, Chordata, Mammalia, Primates, Hominidae. The record is from Ensembl.
CUUUUUAGUGGUAGUUGGGAGUGGAGGUGGCUAGUGAGAAGAGAAAGACUUUUUCCUUUUUGAGCACCUCUUUGGACCAUUUACAUUCAUUGACAGCUCAGAAGAAUCCAACAGAUAUAUUUAAACAAUUUCUGCCAUAACUGUGGACUAACAACAUAACGGAAUGAAUAGUUAAAUUUACAACGUGCUGCCGGGCGUGGUGGCUCAUGCCUGUAAUCCCAGCACUUUGGGAGGCCGGGACAGUCGGAUUACCUGAGGAUGGGAGUUCGAGACCAGCCUGACCAACAUGGAGAAACCCUGUCUCUACUAAAAAUACAAAAUUAGUGGGGCGUGGUGGCACAUGCCUGUAAUCCCAGCUACUCAGGAGGCUGAGGCAGGAGAAUCGCUUGAACCCAGGAGGCAGAGGUUGUGACUUUUCUAGGAGACUUGGGCAUCACAAGAUCAAAACAGAGACCUUCACACUCAAGUUUUUAAGACAGAGAAAAGUUCCUUGAGCAAAUGCAAGAAACACCAAAAACAAUCCAUUGAUACACUUGGUGACAUUAAUUGAGAAAAAAACAAUAUGGUCUGGCCAUGGAGGCAUGGUAUCCGUAACAUCCCCCAAAGGAGCUAAAGAAGAAAUCCACAAUUUACCAUGAGCAUUUCUCGUCUGAAGAUUGCCAAGCGAUUCCUCCAGGACAUUCCUCAAGAUCAAUUUCUGUUCAUCCACCUUGUCCUGGGAGGGACAUCAAUGGGUUUCCAUGUCCUUUGGCUUCUGGUUGAGUUCACUCAGUGGAGAACCCUGGCAAGAGGCAGGAAAAGGGGAGGAAGGUGAAAACCAUCCAUUUCUUGGAGAAGUGCCACGGUGGGGUUGCAAGUCCCAGGAUCAAGUUUUCGAUGUGUCUCUUUUUCCCGUAAAGUGGCUGAAAUCUGAAGCUGAAUCUGCAAGUGUCAUGGAGUCAUUGAAUCUCACAGUCUCAACUGAUAAAAGUUAUUAAAGGUCGUCUGGUUCAGCCUUCU